CAAAAGUUUGGUCCUGGCUUUUCUGUCAGCUCUAGCUAGAUUUACACAUGCAAGUAUCCGCCCCCCUGUGAGAAUGCCCACCCAGUUUUAUGCUCUAAAACAAGGAGCCGGUAUCAGGCACAUUCAACCCCUCAGCCCACGACGCCUUGCUAAGCCACACCCCCACGGGAACCCAGCAGUGAUAAACAUUACAGCAAUAAGUGAAAACUUGACUUAGUUUAUAGCUAUUCAGAGCCGGUUAAAUUCGUGCCAGCCACCGCGGUGAUACGAAAGACUCAAGCUGACAGCCCACGGCGUAAAGCGUGGUUAGGGUAAAUAAAAAUUAAAGCCGAACGCCCCUUAGGCCGUCAAAAGCAUAUGGGGGCAUGAAGCCCACUUACGAAAGUAGCUUUAUACUUCCUGAACCCACGAAAGCUAAGAAACAAACUGGGAUUAGAUACCCCACUAUGCUUAGCCGUAAACAUUGAUAGAAUACUACAACCUCUAUCCGCCCGACUACUACGAGCAUGAAGCUUAAAAACCAAAGGACUUGGCGGUUCUUUAUACCCCUCUAGAGGAGCCUGUUCUAUAACCGAUACUCCCCGUUUAACCUCACCCCUCCUUACCCCGUAGCCCAUAUACCACCGUCUUCAGUUUACCCAGUGAUGGACCAACAGUAAUCACAAUCGGCAUAGCCCAGAACGUCAGGUCGAGGUGUGGCUCAUGGAGGGGGAAGAAAUGGGCUACAUUCACUAGCAUAGUGCAUACGAAUGACGCAUUGAAACCCAUGCGUACUGAAGGAGGAUUUAGUAGUAAGUGGUAACUAGAGUGUACCACUGAAUCGGGCUCUGAAGAACGCACACACCGCCCGUCACUCUCCCCGAAAACUCACAAUCCAAAUAGAUAAUUAACUAACAACCACAUCAGGGGAGGUAAGUCGUAACAUGGUAAGUGUACCUGAAGGUGCACUUGGAAUAAU
Molecule: non-coding RNA, 958 nt
Filed under: Trichiurus haumela
Lineage: Eukaryota; Metazoa; Chordata; Actinopteri; Scombriformes; Trichiuridae
Also listed under: 1 other name
Description: 12S ribosomal RNA
Rfam family: Bacterial small subunit ribosomal RNA
Source: RNAcentral